This 1652-nucleotide unclassified non-coding RNA is filed under the name Leishmania donovani. Its description in RNAcentral is "gene:LdHU3.01.0320(CDS-product:Cytochrome_c_oxida se_biogenesis_protein_Cmc1_like_putative)". Lineage: Eukaryota; Euglenozoa; Kinetoplastea; Trypanosomatida; Trypanosomatidae. The record is from RNAcentral.
GAGCUACUUCAGGUUGACGGUGCAGACGGUUCUGUCUGUUUUUGCACAGCCUCAAGGGUGUUCUCGACGUGGCAGCUUUCCCUCGAAACCAUCUUUAGCUGCUUACACACGCAGCCGCGCCCAUCUCAGCACCGAAAAAUUCACGACGUCCCCACAUAACGCGGCCUGAUUUUAGUCUCUAACAUGUCCACAUACGACAAAUCAGAUCAGAUCGGCUAUGAUGAGACGGAUAAUACGUUGAAUGCCGAGCUGGAAGAAAUGAUGGCGCGCACCCCACCGGAGGUGCAGCGCCACCUGCAGCACCGCAUUCAUGAUGGCAUCCUGCAGCGCAUGAAAGAGGAGACGACACGCAAGUGCAUUACGUUCAUCCAAAAGUAUGAGCAGUGUGUGAACAGCCAAAAGCCGUACAACAUGAAGCUAUGCUAUCCCCACCGGGAUGCUAUGAAUGGGUGCGCGCAGGAGGUUAACCGGGAGGAAAACUACCAACGUUACCGCAUCAUGUACCUCCGUGGCGAGCUGCUUAGGUACCAUGAGAAACGUAUUGCCGGCAAGAUGGAGGCAUUCAAGGUGAAGGCUCCCGACGCGAUCCGUGGGUGGAAGCACGACUACGCACCCAAGUAUAUGCACAUGAUGGAGGAUUUGGGGGCGGCGCCUCUCGGCAAUGCCGUGGGGACGGCGGAGGAAACCACAAACUCGAAGUAGGACCCCCCUUGUUUUGUCUUGUCGCAGCUGUGCUUCUCAGGACCACGCUUUUUCCUUCGCCUGCGGUGGCGGCGAACCACGCAAGUGAGCAUGCCGGAUGCAGCGCUCCGUCAGCUUUUCGUUUUCUCCCUGCUCUGAUCGUCACCGCUCUGCCACGUGCAUGCAGCACCCUUGGCGCCCCAAUGAGGGUACGCCAUCACCGACAGGGAAAGAAAGCGAGGAAGCGAUGAAAACGUGCAAACAACCGAAAAAAGAAUCCUCAUAAACUUUCGCGCGCGCACACCCACAUACACACACAUCGCCACACAGCCGCCCCUCCAUCAUGCCGGUCGCCACUCCCCCCACCUCCUCCCUGGGUGCGUCUCCCCGUCGCGGUGACACUCAGGCCCCCGCACCCCUCGCCGUGGGCCAGUGUGAGGGGCCGGCUGCGACACGCUCGAGCCGCGCUGACACGCUCCGCCCAUCGCAUGGACGGUGCAAGCCUGUGCUCACUGUCGCGGGUGGCUCGGACGCAGCGCCAUGCACGACAUGGCCGCCGGCAUCCGUGGCGCUACGUCGCGCCGACCUCGCCCAACGCCGUAAGGGCCCAGCCCUGUCAGCACCAGAAGUGGUUCGGCGUUGGCAGGGAUAGAGGGUGAGGGGGCUGCCGGGCUUCCGCACACAGAGAGAGCGGGGGUGGAGGGGGGGCGCUGGACCCUGGGAUGCCACGCUGAGGUUUAUCCCGUCACUGGGGGCGCGCCAACACUUAGAGCAUCCAGCAAUGGGUUGUUUGGAUGUGCCUCGUAUGACUGAGGUGCAGUAUCUUGGAGCAGCGUGGUCCCUUCACGCCACGGCUCCUCGCGGUAGGUGACGUGUCCUUGUUUCGAUGUCCGACACGCCAGCGCUCAAAUGUUAUGCCUCCUCCUCCUCUUCGCUGUAUCUGCCGCCUCCUCACUGCCAUGUUUUCGUAG